GAUGAACGCUGGCGGCGUGCCUAAUACAUGCAAGUCGAGCGAAAAGACGAGGAGAUUGCUCCUCUGACGUUAGCGGCGGACGGGUGAGUAACACGUGGAUAACCUACUUAUAAGACUGGGAUAACUUCGGGAAAACGGAGCUAAUACCGGAUAAUAUAUUGAACCGCAUGGUUCAAUAGUGAAAGAGGGUUUUGCUGUUACUUAUAGAUGGUUUCGCGCCGCAUUAGCUAGUUGGUAAGGUAACGGCUUACCAAGGCGACGAUGCGUAGCCGACCUGAGAGGGUGAUCGGCCACACUGGAACUGAGACACGGUCCAGACUCCUACGGGAGGCAGCAGUAGGGAAUCUUCCGCAAUGGGCGAAAGCCUGACGGAGCAACGCCGCGUGAGUGAUGAAGGUCUUCGGAUCGUAAAACUCUGUUAUUGGGGAAGAACAAAUGUGUAAGUAACUAUGCACGUCUUGACGGUACCUAAUCAGAAAGCCACGGCUAACUACGUG
This 497-nucleotide ribosomal RNA is filed under the name uncultured bacterium. RNAcentral describes it as "partial 16S ribosomal RNA". It matches the Rfam family "Bacterial small subunit ribosomal RNA", at positions 28 to 507 of the family's 1533-position model. The record is from RNAcentral.